Actinia tenebrosa (Australian red waratah sea anemone) is the source of this 1146-nucleotide long non-coding RNA. NCBI's taxonomy places the organism in Eukaryota, Metazoa, Cnidaria, Anthozoa, Actiniaria, Actiniidae. The record is from RefSeq and is a predicted model, not a curated record.
GAUGGAUUUUUAUGUUGUCUGCAAAACCACUAUGCUUUAGAGUGUUCGAGCCGGUCAGUCAUCCAAAAGCUCUUCUCUGCGAUUCCCUUUUAGCUUCAUCAAAAGCUCAGAGAAAAGACCGUACAGAAUAAAAUGGCAGACCUAACAGUCGGGCACGGGCCUGCAGUUUUUUCAGGACCUUCUGGAAUAAAGCUCUUCCACUACUAUAAAAAGAGAGAUCCAUCAUUUGUCGGCCAUACACGUUUCUCACAAGAAAGAACCACCAAUGCCUUGUAUCUUUUGCGUGGUGCACCAACCACCCCUCACCACCCCUCUAAGGAGCAAUGGCUGGGAUCGAUCGGCUGGAAUGUGUGGUCAUACAAUGACUGGAGACUGCUCAAGAGUAACAACCAGAUCAAAAUGGGCCCGUUUCGAAAUGACGUAGAGAUACGAACAUUAAACUAUUAUGGCGUUCAUUAAUCAUUUAAAUUAAUUUUUUUCUAUUAGAAAAGUUUGAUAACUUGGCGUUCAUUACUGACUCACGGCACAACACAUACUCAAUCUCGUACGUGCUCGAGCAUGCGCAGUUAAAAAUAAGGGCUCUGGGUAUGAGAAUGAAUACAGCACCAUUAGCACCAAUUGCCUUACUAUUCUCAUGAGGAAAUAGAAAUUUAAAUAACAAAGAACAUUCGCAAACCGACUAGAGUCAACAGUGACGCCAUCAGGCAAACGUCCUUUUGGUCGAUGUUUUCGGGGACAAACAUUAGAAAAGUUACAAAACUAAGACAAACCUUAUGCGUUAAUACUGAGACUUAGAUAGAAGUAUCUCUUAAUCUUCAAGAAAUGACUUUAUAUCCUCUGCACUUUCGUUGCUGACUUUGGAAUGGAGAGGCAUGUGAGCCCGCGAUUUUAGCCACAACCGCUGCGGACUAGUCAGUCCAGCCCAGCGAGGAUAGAGGUAACACCGAAACAACGUGUGUUCAUUCCGGUGUCAUAUCUUUACUUUCAUUACUGUGUGCAUUUUACUCGUUACUGGUAUAUAUUUUGGCUCGUGUCUUUCACUCCCAUAGCUAGGGUACUGAUGUAUCACUGUAAGACAUGCCCAAUGUAAAUAUGUAAGACGUUUUAAGUUUUUCAUUUGAAAUAAAUAUACAUUCCACAAUUCUA